This 378-nucleotide unclassified non-coding RNA is filed under the name plant metagenome. RNAcentral's name for it is "partial contains 5.8S ribosomal RNA, internal transcribed spacer 2, and large subunit ribosomal RNA". The stretch from base 1 to 105 matches the Rfam family "5.8S ribosomal RNA", at positions 50 to 154 of the family's 154-position model. The record is from RNAcentral.
GAAAUGCGAUAAGUAAUGUGAAUUGCAGAAUUCAGUGAAUCAUCGAAUCUUUGAACGCAUCUUGCGCUCCUUGGUAUUCCUUGGAGCAUGCCUGUUUGAGUAUCAUGAAAUCUUCAAAGUAAAUCUUUUGUUAACUCAAUUGGUUUCUACUUUGGUAUUGGAGGUCUUUGCAGCUUCACACCUGCUCCUCUUUGUUCAUUAGUUGGAUCUCAGUGUUAUGCUUGGUUCCACUCGGCGUGAUAAGUUAUCUAUCGCUGAGGACACUGUAAAAGGUGGCCAAGGUAAAUGCAGAUGAACCGCUUCCAAUAGUCCAUUGACUUGGACAAUACUUUUAUGAUCUGAUCUCAAAUCAGGUAGGACUACCCGCUGAACUUAAGC